GAUUAACGCUAGCGGCAGGCAUAAUACAUGCAAGUUGAACGGCAGCACAGGUAGCAAUAUUGGGUGGCGAGUGGCGCACGGGUGCGUAACACGUAUGCAACCUACCCUAUACAGGCGAAUAACCUUUAGAAAUGAGGGCUAAUACGCCGUAGUAUUACAGAUGGGCAUCUAUUUGUAAUUAAAGAUUUAUCGGUAUAGGAUGGGCAUGCGUCCCAUUAGUUAGUUGGUAAGGUAACGGCUUACCAAGACGAUGAUGGGUAGGGGAUCUGAGAGGACUUACCCCCACACUGGUACUGAGACACGGACCAGACUCCUACGGGAGGCAGCAGUAAGGAAUAUUGGGCAAUGGCCGCGAGGCUGACCCAGCCAUGCCGCGUGCAGGAAGACGGCCUUAUGGGUUGUAAACUGCUUUUAUACGGGAAUAAUAGAGUGUACGCGUACAUUUAUGCAAGUAUCGUAUGAAUAAGCAUCGGCUAACUCCGUG
RNAcentral lists this ribosomal RNA (484 nucleotides) under uncultured bacterium. Its description in RNAcentral is "partial 16S ribosomal RNA". It matches the Rfam family "Bacterial small subunit ribosomal RNA", at positions 28 to 507 of the family's 1533-position model. The record is from RNAcentral.